GAGGGGGCUGAACAGGGCCCUGCACUCCCCUUGGCCCAGGGAAGCCCUGCCCUGUCCACCAUCCUGGUGCACUGUCAUUGUCCACUGGGCCCCUGGCUUGCUCAAUGUCUGUGUCUUCCAGCUGGACGGGCAGCCGAGGCAGGACCUUGGUGGCCUCAUCCUCUGCUGUCUCCCAGCGCCUGCCACUCAGCAGAGGCCGUCUGCAACCCACAACUAUUGCUGGGGUAAAAUAGAAAAUUUUCUUGAAAAAUGCAACUUACCAAAACUGGCUUAAGAAGAAACAAUGGAGGGAAGAAUGUUAGCAUGACAGAAUAAUGACUUUCUGGAAGAGGAAGGACAAAGGCCACCAUAGCUCAUAUUAGGAGAAAUGAGAAGUCUUCCAGGAUCCCAGUGGAGAAUGUUCUCCACAAGUGAAACAGUGUGGAGUCCAAGAGAAGGGAAGCCUGCUGGAGUCGAGAGGCCAUUUCCCAGUCCAGCAGCAGCCCCUACCCAGGGCAGUACUCCACUGCACCCCCUUUAAGGUGGGGUGGCUACUGGCCUGCAGCGAGCACUUGUAGAAGUAGAGUGUGACCCUUGAGGGCUCUGUGACUCACUGACCUGA
Molecule: long non-coding RNA, 601 nt
Filed under: Homo sapiens (human)
Lineage: Eukaryota; Metazoa; Chordata; Mammalia; Primates; Hominidae
Description: HSALNT0309821
Source: RNAcentral